RNAcentral lists this long non-coding RNA (437 nucleotides) under Mustela putorius furo (domestic ferret). RNAcentral describes it as "lncRNA (ENSMPUG00000026306.1)". The record is from RNAcentral. Lineage: Eukaryota; Metazoa; Chordata; Mammalia; Carnivora; Mustelidae.
GAAAAACUUGUUUGAUGGAGAAGAGGAGGUAAAGAAGGAAGCAGAGGGCAGAGAACUGCGUCGGAGGAGAGGUCAGAUCCACCGACCCAUGGCAUGGUGAUGUGUUUCUAGGAAGAAGUUGCUGCGGCCGAGGUCCAAGAGUUUGCUGCCUGUGUUCUCCUCAAGGAUUUUGCUGGAUUCCUGUCUCACAUUGAGGUCUUUCACCCAUUUUGAGUCUGUUUUUGUGUGGUGUAAGGCAAUGGUCCACUUUCAUUCUUCUGCAUGUCCCAGCCAAUAACUUGAAUGAGAUUAGAAGUGGACUCAUCCCUGGAGUCUCUGAAAAGAGCACAGCCAUGCCAACACCUUGAUUAGAGCCUCGUGCUAUUCUAAGCUGGGGAACCAGGUGAGUUUCACAGUACUUGGACUUUUGAUCUACAUAACUGUGAGCUAACAAAAUG